RNAcentral lists this unclassified non-coding RNA (345 nucleotides) under soil metagenome. Its description in RNAcentral is "partial contains 5.8S ribosomal RNA, internal transcribed spacer 2, and large subunit ribosomal RNA". The stretch from base 1 to 120 matches the Rfam family "5.8S ribosomal RNA", at positions 35 to 154 of the family's 154-position model. The record is from RNAcentral.
GAUGAAGAACGCAGCGAAAUGCGAUAAGUAAUGUGAAUUGCAGAAUUCCGUGAAUCAUCGAAUCUUUGAACGCACAUUGCGUCCUCUGGUAAGCCGGGGGGCAUGCCUGUCCGAGCGUCAUUUGCAACCCUCAAGCCCGGCUUGUGUGAUGGGUGCCGUCCCCUACGGGACGCGCCCCGAAGGCAAUGGCGGCGUCGCGGUUAUCCGAUCAGCCAAAGUGUAUGGGGCUUUGUCACUCACUUUACGGCCCGGACCGGCGCCAGUCCGAAUCAAUCUUUUUUCUAAAGUUGACCUCGGAUCAGGUAGGGAUACCCGCUGAACUUAAGCAUAUCAAUAAGCGGAGGA